Molecule: ribosomal RNA, 609 nt
Filed under: Paratrichodorus renifer
Lineage: Eukaryota; Metazoa; Nematoda; Enoplea; Triplonchida; Trichodoridae
Description: eukaryotic LSU rRNA
Rfam family: Eukaryotic large subunit ribosomal RNA
Source: RNAcentral
CGUGAUCGCAAGACACUCCUGGCUCGUUUCUUGGCCUAGCGCUGGUGCAUUUCUGGUGUAGUGCACUGCGACCGUUAGUUCCGCUGGCAAAAGGCCGAUUGGUAGAAGACUGUGGGCCUUCGGGCUUGCAGUGCCUUGCCUUUCGUGUCCUGUCCUUGUUGGAAUUAACGGAUUACCUCUGUGCCCGCUUGCUCAUCUGGUGGGGUUAGUUGGUCGCAUGAAUGGCUGUUACGUGCUUGCACGUCUCAGCGACCCGCGGUCGGCUAUGCUUCGUCGCGUGAGAAGGCACAUAAGGUCUGCGGUGUCCGCGUCAGUCUCCCAUCCGACCCGUCUUGAAACACGGACCAAGGAGUCUAACAUGUGCGCAAGUCAUAGGGUGGAAAACCUGAAGGCGAAAUGAAAGUAAAGGUCGCUCACGCGGCUGAGGUGUAAUGUCUGGUUCUACCGGACCGCAACACCGUCCCAUCGCACCGGCCUGUCCGAGCGGUGGAGAUAGAGCGUACAUGUUGGGACCCGAAAGAUGGUGAACUAUGCCUGAGCAGGAUGAAGCCAGAGGAAACUCUGGUGGAGGUCCGUAGCGGUUCUGACGUGCAAAUCGAUCGUCAGACU